AGAAUGUUAUCACGGGAGACACACGGCGGGUGCUAACGUCCGUCGUGAAGAGGGAAACAACCCAGACCGCCAGCUAAGGUCCCAAAGUCAUGGUUAAGUGGGAAACGAUGUGGGAAGGCCCAGACAGCCAGGAUGUUGGCUUAGAAGCAGCCAUCAUUUAAAGAAAGCGUAAUAGCUCACUGGUCGAGUCGGCCUGCGCGGAAGAUGUAACGGGGCUAAACCAUGCACCGAAGCUGCGGCAGCGACGCUUAUGCGUUGUUGGGUAGGGGAGCGUUCUGUAAGCCUGCGAAGGUGUGCUGUGAGGCAUGCUGGAGGUAUCAGAAGUGCGAAUGCUGACAUAAGUAACGAUAAAGCGGGUGAAAAGCCCGCUCGCCGGAAGACCAAGGGUUCCUGUCCAACGUUAAUCGGGGCAGGGUGAGUCGACCCCUAAGGCGAGGCCGAAAGGCGUAGUCGAUGGGAAACAGGUUAAUAUUCCUGUACUUGGUGUUACUGCGAAGGGGGGACGGAGAAGGCUAUGUUGGCCGGGCGACGGUUGUCCCGGUUUAAGCGUGUAGGCUGGUUUUCCAGGCAAAUCCGGAAAAUCAAGGCUGAGGCGUGAUGACGAGGCACUACGGUGCUGAAGCAACAAAUGCCCUGCUUCCAGGAAAAGCCUCUAAGCAUCAGGUAACAUCAAAUCGUACCCCAAACCGACACAGGUGGUCAGGUAGAGAAUACCAAG
This 718-nucleotide non-coding RNA is filed under the name Rhodopseudomonas palustris. RNAcentral's name for it is "bacterial LSU rRNA". It matches the Rfam family "Bacterial large subunit ribosomal RNA", at positions 966 to 1685 of the family's 2925-position model. The record is from RNAcentral. Lineage: Bacteria; Pseudomonadati; Pseudomonadota; Alphaproteobacteria; Hyphomicrobiales; Nitrobacteraceae.